GGAGAAUGCAAUUACUCACAAGUGCCAUAUGCAGUCUUUGAAAGCUUUUUUGAAGGAAUCCGUGAUUCUUCAGCCGCUUUGCCAUCUUCUCCAGAGGUGUGCUGAGGAUUUCACACAACACAGCAGGAGGCACGUAAGGUUAUUCCAGCCUGGUUAGAUGGAAGAAAUGCUGUGACCAGGAAAGAUGCCAGCGAGUCAGGGCUGGGCAAUUACUACAGCUGUUCAAAGAAGCACACUGGGCAGUAAUGAAUACCUGUCAUGCUUUCCCAGAAGCAAAAAUACAGCUAUUUGACAAAAAGGCUGACAGUGUUCUGUAAUAUUAUAAAGAACAGAAGACCAUCUCCAAUAGCACAAUAAACUGCUUGGAUGCUUUUUCUCUGCCUUUAAAUGAAGAACCAGAACAAGAGGCAUACGUGUAUGGAAGGAGCAUGGCGUGCUUCCAACCACAACAGUCCUUGCUUCUUUCAAAGUUACACCAUGAGCACUUUCUGUCUGACCACUCCUCAAAAGGUGACAGUCUUUAGGCCCUUAGACAGCAAAAGAGAAUGAAAGGGAGUCAAUGAAAAAAUACCUUCCAACUCUUCAAGCCUGGGUUAGUGUUUUU
Molecule: long non-coding RNA, 604 nt
Filed under: Gallus gallus (chicken)
Lineage: Eukaryota; Metazoa; Chordata; Aves; Galliformes; Phasianidae
Source: RNAcentral